GCCCUGUUGAUUGGGACAACCCCGGGAAACCGGGGCUAAUACCAAAUGUGCUGCAUCUGCAUCAGUAGAUGUCGGAAAGGAGGCUUCGGCUUCCGCAACGGGAUGGGCCCGCGGCCCAUUAGCUUGUUGGUGGGGUAACGGCCUACCAAGGCUUCGAUGGGUAGCUGGUCUGAGAGGACGAUCAGCCACACUGGGACUGAGACACGGCCCAGACUCCUACGGGAGGCAGCAGUGGGGAAUCUUGCGCAAUGCGCGAAAGCGUGACGCAGCAACGCCGCGUGAGGGAAGACGGCCUUCGGGUUGUAAACCUCUUUCAGUUGGGACGAAGCCACGGCGGUUAAUACCCGUCUGUGGUGACGGUACCUUCAGAAGAAGCCCCGGCUAACUACGUGCCAGCAGCCGCGGUAAUACGUAGGGGGCAAGCGUUGUCCGGAAUCAUUGGGCGUAAAGCGCGUGUAGGCGGCUUGGUAAGUCCGCUCUGAAAGCCCGGGGCUCAACCCCGGGAGGCGGGUGGAUACUGUCAAGCUCGAGUCCGGAAGAGGCGAGUGGAAUUCCUGGUGUAGCGGUGAAAUGCGCAGAUAUCAGGAGGAACACCAAUGGCGAAGGCAGCUCGCUGGGACGUGACUGACGCUGAGAC
This 637-nucleotide ribosomal RNA is filed under the name Parviterribacter multiflagellatus. RNAcentral's name for it is "bacterial SSU rRNA". It matches the Rfam family "Bacterial small subunit ribosomal RNA", at positions 128 to 752 of the family's 1533-position model. Lineage: Bacteria; Bacillati; Actinomycetota; Thermoleophilia; Solirubrobacterales; Parviterribacteraceae. The record is from RNAcentral.